UACGGAGGGGGCUAGCGUUGUUCGGAAUUACUGGGCGUAAAGCGCACGUAGGCGGCUUUGUAAGUUAGAGGUGAAAGCCCGGGGCUCAACUCCGGAAUUGCCUUUAAGACUGCAUCGCUAGAAUUGUGGAGAGGUGAGUGGAAUUCCCAGUGUAGAGGUGAAAUUCGUAGAUAUUGGGAAGAACACCGGUGGCGAAGGCGGCUCACUGGCUCGUAUCUGACGCUCAGGCGCGACAGCGUGGGGAUCAAACAGG
RNAcentral lists this ribosomal RNA (253 nucleotides) under uncultured bacterium. RNAcentral describes it as "partial 16S ribosomal RNA". It matches the Rfam family "Bacterial small subunit ribosomal RNA", at positions 524 to 776 of the family's 1533-position model. The record is from RNAcentral.